GGUGGAGCGAUUUGUCUGGUUAAUUCCGAUAACGAACGAGACUCUGGCCUAUUAAAUAGACGAUAUAUUUCAAAGUAUAUCGCGCUUCUUAGAGGGACAAGCGGCGUCUAGCCGCAUGAAAUAGAGCAAUAACAGGUCUGUGAUGCCCUUAGAUGUUCGGGGCUGCACGCGCGCUACACUGAAGGCAUCAUCAUGUUUAUCAACCUACCCCGGAAGGGGCGGGUAACCCGAUGAAACGCCUUCGUGAUUGGGAUAGGGAAUUGCAAUUAUUUCCCUUGAACGAGGAAUUCCCAGUAAGUGCGGGUCAUCAGCUCGCGCUGAAUACGUCCCUGCCCUUUGUAC
RNAcentral lists this ribosomal RNA (342 nucleotides) under Nematoda environmental sample. Its description in RNAcentral is "bacterial SSU rRNA". It matches the Rfam family "Eukaryotic small subunit ribosomal RNA", at positions 1300 to 1665 of the family's 1831-position model. Lineage: Eukaryota; Metazoa; Nematoda. The record is from RNAcentral.